Molecule: unclassified non-coding RNA, 216 nt
Filed under: Chytridiomycota sp.
Lineage: Eukaryota; Fungi; Chytridiomycota
Description: partial contains small subunit ribosomal RNA, internal transcribed spacer 1, and 5.8S ribosomal RNA
Rfam family: Eukaryotic small subunit ribosomal RNA (bases 1-47)
Source: RNAcentral
AAAGUCGUAACAAGGUAACCGUAGGUGAACCUGCGGUUGGAUCAUUAAAAAAUUCAACUUAAAGGGGAGAGCAAUCUCCUUCUUUAAACACAUGUGAACUGUAUUUUGGUGGGUCAAGCUUGCUUGCCCGCUCUUUUAAACUCUUUGAUUUAUUUUGGACUAAAGUUUAAGAAUAUUAAUUUCUAACAACUUUUGGCAACGGAUCUCUUGGUUCUC